Molecule: ribosomal RNA, 392 nt
Filed under: uncultured Pedinellales
Lineage: Eukaryota; Dictyochophyceae; Pedinellales
Description: partial small subunit ribosomal RNA
Rfam family: Eukaryotic small subunit ribosomal RNA
Source: RNAcentral
GCUUGUCUCAAAGAUUAAGCCAUGCAUGUCUAAGUAUGAACAUUUAUACUGUGAAACUGCGUACGGCUCAUUAAACCAGUUAUAGUUUAUUUGAUAUUCCCCUACUACUCGGAUACCCGUAGUAAUUCUAGAGCUAAUACGUGCGUCAAACGGCAUAUGUCGUGUCAUUAUUAGAUAGAAACCAAUGCGCUUCGGCGGUAUUGUGGUGAGUCAUGAUAAUUUAGCGGAUCGCAUGGCCUCGCGCCGGCGAUGGAUCAUUCAAGUUUCUGCCCUAUCAGCUUUGGAUGGUAGGGUAUUGGCCUACCAUGGCUUUAACGGGUAACGGAGAAUUAGGGUUCGAUUCCGGAGAGGGAGCCUGAGAGACGGCUACCACAACCAAGGAAGGCAGCAGG